GUUUUAAUAGUUUAAAAAAAAUAAUGAUCUUGUAAAUCAUAGUUAGGAUUCCUUUAAAACU
Molecule: transfer RNA, 61 nt
Filed under: Inara alboguttata
Lineage: Eukaryota; Metazoa; Arthropoda; Insecta; Hemiptera; Reduviidae
Description: tRNA-Thr
Source: RNAcentral